GCCCCUGUAGUGUAGUCCGGUAACGUUUUGUGCGCAGCACAAAAUCUUGGGCAACCAAUCACAUUGCCCUCUCGAGGCAAUGACUCGGGUUCGAAUCCCGACGGGGGCG
RNAcentral lists this transfer RNA (109 nucleotides) under Candidatus Woesearchaeota archaeon. RNAcentral's name for it is "tRNA-Glu". It matches the Rfam family "tRNA". Rfam says of the family: Transfer RNA (tRNA) molecules are approximately 80 nucleotides in length. Their secondary structure includes four short double-helical elements and three loops (D, anti-codon, and T loops). Further hydrogen bonds mediate the characteristic L-shaped molecular structure. tRNAs have two regions of fundamental functional importance: the anti-codon, which is responsible for specific mRNA codon recognition, and the 3' end, to which the tRNAs corresponding amino acid is attached (by aminoacyl-tRNA synthetases). tRNAs cope with the degeneracy of the genetic code in two manners: having more than one tRNA (with a specific anti-codon) for a particular amino acid; and 'wobble' base-pairing, i.e. permitting non-standard base-pairing at the 3rd anti-codon position. Lineage: Archaea; Nanobdellati; Candidatus Woesearchaeota. The record is from RNAcentral.